UAUUGCGCAAUGGGCGAAAGCCUGACGCAGCAACGCCGCGUGAGGGAUGACGGCCUUCGGGUUGUAAACCUCUUUCAGCGCUGACGAAGCCUUCGGGUGACGGUAGGCGCAGAAGAAGCACCGGCUAACUACGUGCCAGCAGCCGCGGUAAUACGUAGGUGGCAAGCGUUGUCCGGAUUUACUGGGCGUAAAGCGCGCGCAGGCGGACUGGUUAGUCCGGGGUGAAAGCUCAUGGCUCAACUGUGAGUGGUCCCCGGAUACUGCCCGUCUUGAGGGGUCUAGAGGAGAGCGGAAUUCCCGGUGUAGUGGUGGAAUGCGUAGAUAUCGGGAAGAACACCAGUGGCGAAAGCGGCUCUCUGGGGACCACCUGACGCUGAGGCGCGAAAGCGUGGGGAGCGAAC
This 401-nucleotide ribosomal RNA is filed under the name uncultured bacterium. RNAcentral describes it as "bacterial SSU rRNA". It matches the Rfam family "Bacterial small subunit ribosomal RNA", at positions 362 to 773 of the family's 1533-position model. The record is from RNAcentral.